This 483-nucleotide ribosomal RNA is filed under the name uncultured bacterium. RNAcentral's name for it is "partial 16S ribosomal RNA". It matches the Rfam family "Bacterial small subunit ribosomal RNA", at positions 28 to 523 of the family's 1533-position model. The record is from RNAcentral.
GACGAACGCUGGCGGCGUGCUUUACACAUGCAAGUCGAACGGUGAAGGUGGAGCUUGCUCCGCCGGAUCAGUGGCGAACGGGUGAGUAACACGUGGGCAACCUGCCCCUAACUUUGGGAUAACUACUCGAAAGAGUAGCUAAUACCGGAUAUGAAGUCUGUAGGCAUCUAUGGAUUUGGAAAGUUUUUCGGUUAGGGAUGGGCCCGCGGCCUAUCAGCUUGUUGGUGAGGUAGUGGCUCACCAAGGCGACGACGGGUAGCCGGCCUGAGAGGGCGACCGGCCACACUGGGACUGAGACACGGCCCAGACUCCUACGGGAGGCAGCAGUGGGGAAUAUUGCACAAUGGGCGGAAGCCUAAUGCAGCAACGCCGCGUGAGGGAUGACGGCCUUCGGGUUGUAAACCUCUUUUAGCAGGGAAGAAGCGAGAGUGACGGUACCUGCAGAAAAAGCACCGGCUAACUACGUGCCAGCAGCCGCAGUAA